Molecule: ribosomal RNA, 406 nt
Filed under: uncultured bacterium
Lineage: Bacteria
Description: partial 16S ribosomal RNA
Rfam family: Bacterial small subunit ribosomal RNA
Source: RNAcentral
AUUGAACGCUGGCGGCAGGCCUAACACAUGCAAGUCGAACGAGUGGCGGACGGGUGAGUAAUGUCUGGGAAACUGCCCGAUGGAGGGGGAUAACUACUGGAAACGGUAGCUAAUACCGCAUACCAUCGGAUGUGCCCAGAUGGGAGUAGCUUGUAGGUGAGGUAACGGCUCACCUAGGUGACGAUCCCUAGCUGGUCUGAGAGGAUGACCAGCCAGACGGGAACUGAGACACGGUCCAGACUCCUACGGGAGGCAGCAGUGGGGAAUAGUGCACAAUGGGCGCAAGCCUGAGACAGCUAUGACGCGUGUAUGAAGAAGGACGUCGGGUUGUAAAGUACUUUCAGCGGGGAGGCGGGACCCGAAGAAGAAGCACCGGCUAACUCCGUGCCAGCAGCCGCGGUAAUAC